This 381-nucleotide long non-coding RNA is filed under the name Olea europaea subsp. europaea. The record is from RNAcentral. Lineage: Eukaryota; Viridiplantae; Streptophyta; Magnoliopsida; Lamiales; Oleaceae.
UUAGAAGUUAGCUCUACUAUGCGGUUGCAUAGUAUAAAACGUAUGCGGUCGCGAGUAAACCUCCAAGGAUUAAAAACGCCAUUUUUCUUAUGCCUAUGCGGUCGCAUAGGUAUAAUUUUUCCCCAAUUUUUGCAGUUUCCUUAUAUGAUUGCAACUCCUUUGGUAACCUAAUUUGGACGGGUUUAAAUAGCAACAAAACAUCCAGAAGCCGCACGAACGAAUUGGGAGGCAAAAACAUUCAUCUUGGAGUGGAUUUGAAGGCAAGAACAAGAAUUGAUGCGAGAUUUACAAGAUUUCUUCAAGUUUUGAUAACCCGGUGAUGUAUUUUAUUCAUACUUUGUUAGAUUUCGUUAUUUUUAUCAUGAUAGGCUAGAUUUUUGC